Molecule: ribosomal RNA, 583 nt
Filed under: uncultured bacterium
Lineage: Bacteria
Description: bacterial SSU rRNA
Rfam family: Bacterial small subunit ribosomal RNA
Source: RNAcentral
CUACGGGAGGCAGCAGUGGGGAAUUUUGGACAAUGGGGGCAACCCUGAUCCAGCAAUGCCGCGUGUGUGAAGAAGGCCUUCGGGUUGUAAAGCACUUUUGUCCGGAAAGAAAUCGCGCUGGUUAAUACCUGGCGUGGAUGACGGUACCGGAAGAAUAAGCACCGGCUAACUACGUGCCAGCAGCCGCGGUAAUACGUAGGGUGCGAGCGUUAAUCGGAAUUACUGGGCGUAAAGCGUGCGCAGGCGGUUUUGUAAGACAGGCGUGAAAUCCCCGGGCUUAACCUGGGAAUUACGCUUGUGACUGCAAGGCUAGAGUGCGUCAGAGGGGGGUAGAAUUCCACGUGUAGCAGUGAAAUGCGUAGAGAUGUGGAGGAAUACCGAUGGCGAAGGCAGCCCCCUGGGACGUGACUGACGCUCAUGCACGAAAGCGUGGGGAGCAAACAGGAUUAGAUACCCUGGUAGUCCACGCCCUAAACGAUGUCAACUAGUUGUUGGGGAUUCAUUUUCUCAGUAACGUAGCUAACGCGUGAAGUUGACCGCCUGGGGAGUACGAUCGCAAGAUUAAAACUCAAAGGAAUUGACG